UACGAAGGGGGCUAGCGUUGCUCGGAAUCACUGGGCGUAAAGGGUGCGUAGGCGGGUCUUUAAGUCAGGGGUGAAAUCCUGGAGCUCAACUCCAGAACUGCCUUUGAUACUGAGGAUCUUGAGUCCGGGAGAGGUGAGUGGAACUGCGAGUGUAGAGGUGAAAUUCGUAGAUAUCAUGAGGAAGACCAGUGGCGAAGGCGGGUCUCGGGACAGUUCCUGACACUGAGACACGAAGGCCAGGGGAGCAAACGGG
Molecule: ribosomal RNA, 253 nt
Filed under: uncultured bacterium
Lineage: Bacteria
Description: partial 16S ribosomal RNA
Rfam family: Bacterial small subunit ribosomal RNA
Source: RNAcentral